Molecule: long non-coding RNA, 2078 nt
Organism: Arvicola amphibius (Eurasian water vole)
Lineage: Eukaryota; Metazoa; Chordata; Mammalia; Rodentia; Cricetidae
Exons: 2
Source: RefSeq, a predicted model, not a curated record
UGAAGUCUUGACCAGCGAUUGCGUCAGAUUCCUGAUCCAGUUCCUGCAGGUUCCUCCCCUCUGGCUUCAGCCACCCAGGACUCCCGCCGCGCCCCCCGCCGACCCGAGCGCUGUGCGCCUUCGGGAGCGGCCCUGGCCUCUCUGGACGCCACCUGUCCCGCUCCGGUCCGGGGACAGGCUGGGGUGAGCGUCGUGGGCUUGAACGCGGGUUAGGAUUGGGGAGUAUGUUGCUCAGGCGGGUCCCCAAAUGCCACUCACCUUCUGGAGUGAGUAUCCGGACAGUCGUGCCGGGGGUGGGUUCUGAGUUCGAGUCCUCGAGGCUCUGGUUGGCAUGCAGCCGGCUCAGCAGGUUCUGGAAGCGACCUCGUAGCUCGUGAGCGUCGAGUCGGGACUCCGGGUGGGAACGUCGCUGUUCGGGCAGUGCCAGGGAGUCCCCGGGCGAUGGCCAUGACAGCAGCAGCAGGAGCAGCAGCAGGAACAGCAGGAACCUCAGCUGCGAGCAGCCUGGAGGAUGGGCCUCGGGCGUGGGCAGGGCCAUGUCGGUUGUGUCUUCUGUGUGGCUGUGAGCUGAGCCUUCUGCCAAAGCCGCCUUUAUAGUCCUGUACUCUGGCCGCCCCGCCCCCGCGUGCGGUGCCAACUCGGGUGACCAAGCUGAUCCGGGAGGGAACCCCGAGGACUGGGGGUGGGGGGACGGUCCCUCUCAGCACAAAGGGAAACCACAGGGUCUGGUGACAGUGAGGGCUGACCGUCCCCACGAAACAUGUGACGGGGGCCAGACUCACGUUAAAGUGGAUUCUUCCUUCCUCUCCCUCCCCCUUUCUCCCACUCUUCCUGCCGCCCCUCCCGGCCAUGACCAAAUGGCAGUAAUAGAAGGGCCAAGGCACAAACUGAGGCCACUGCACCUGCUCGGUGUCCUUUCCGCACUCCUACUAACCCUUCAAAACCCUGUGCAAACAGCCCCCGCUCCAGGCCGACUGGAUGGCCACACUCAGGUCCCUGAGUCUGUCUCUCCAGAUCAGUCUCCCCUCUCGUGGGGAGAGAAGCAAGGAGUCUACUGUGGGCCCCUCCUUCAUUCGGUCCAGACUGCAGGCCCCUGGGGAGCUGGAGGGUCAGGGCAGGGUGGUCAGGCUUGGACAGAAGAUGGAGGUGGGUGACGUCGCCUAGGCCUGCAGAGGGUGGCGGCUGCGGUUCGGGCCUCUGGAAUGACCCAGGAAUGAGCGACGAGGGGCACCUGCUGGGGUCUGCAGUACGCACAAGCUGCCGCGUGGCCUCUGUCCCAUAGGACACUCCAGGCUAUGACCGAUGCCCGCGUCCCUCUCCCUGCCUGUCCUGGUGCUCGCUUCGCAGGCCAGUGCUGGACCUGAGACCCCGCCCCCGCCCCAGGAGUUACCUGUCGGCUCCGGGACGAUUUACCCCAGUGGGCGUCUCUUCAGGAUGGAUACGGAGGGAGAUAGCCCCGACCUCAGGCUCGCAGCUGUGGAAGUUCUGAGGUCACUGUACCCCGUGGGAGAGGCAGCCUGGUGGGCACCCGGCAUGGGCGACUGGGGUUCUGGACUUAAAUUUUUGUCUCUGCUUUUCCCCCCAAAUUUAAGUCUCAAGAGUCCGGAUCUCUGCCCCGGGUGAGUCGCUGAUGUCUGGAGGAGGCCUGGGUCACACCGCAGUCCUGUUUCCCUUUCUGUGAAAGGCUGCAGAGUUCUCCAUCUUUGGGGUGCAAGGGAGGACUUGUGGAGUUGUGUGCACGCUACAAAUUGAAACACCAUCCAGUGUUCUCCGUGUGACCCUGGGCAAAUUGCUCAACUGUGCGUCCGAGUAAAGCCGGGGGUCCGAAGAGAGAGGCCUUUCUCACGGAUGGGGAAUCGAGGGCUGGAGGCCGUCCGGGGUCCUCUGGGGUACGGAUAGCUGUGUGGGGAGGAGGAGCCGCCGGGUUCACGCGCGGUUAUAGAGGUCCAGUCGGAGCUGACGCCUGAAAGUCGGCUCUGGCUCUUCAAGGAUGGUGGCAGGUGGGGAGAGGCCUGACGCUGGCACCGGGGAGGGGGACAGGCUCGUACGGCUGCCAUUAAAGUGGGUUCUUUGACUGA